UCCACCUACAUCCACACCUCCACCUACAUCCACACCUCCUCCUACAUCAACCUUUCUUCCUCGGUCCACCUCCAUCGCUCUUCCUCCAUCACUCUCUCCUCCUGUUCUCUCUGUGUUGUCAUCUGUUGGGUCAGUCUGUGUUGUGGUUCUACUGGUGUUACUGGUUUUGCUGGUGAGACGAUGUGUUCACAGGAAACCUGAAGCAGAUCGAGAUGAAGAUGACAUCAUCACUCAUGUUAUGUACAGUUACAUCAAAACAUCAAAUCAGCAGCAGCCAAUCAGAGACAGCAGAGAGACUGAUUCAGCUGUGGUCUACUCAGCAGUGAGAACCCAAGACGUUAGUUAUGGACAAAAAACCAUCAGAACAAGGAGGCCCAGGUACAGCUGCUCUUUAUCUUUGGACAGAGACAAGCUAGCUGCUCACACUGUUUCUUGUCAUCAUGCUUAGCUAACCAAAACCACACCAUGACUCAGAAAAAAGAUGGCAUAUUUUUUAAUAUGUGCAGCAGAAUGUAUGAUUGGUUAUAGAUUGCUUAAGAAUACAACUCUGAUAUUGUUUUUCUAUGACUAGGAUAAAGUACAUUGUAUGUACCAUCAAAUUUAAUUUUAAAAUUCUCUUUCUAAUAAAUGUAAGUUGUCAGAAUAAGUGAAAACAAGUCAGACAUAUACAUAGAAUAGAAUAGAAUAGAAUGUCUUCAUUGUCACUAUACUGUUGUACAAUGAGAUACAGAGCAUCUCCUACUCAGUGUAAACAUGCUAGGGGGGAGAGUUCUGCAACACUAUAUACAUAUGGACAGUAUUAACAGAGGAAAAACAUUAUAUGUAAAAUGUACAAAUAUACAAGCCAGUUUUGAAAAAUAAUAUGUAAUUAAUAGUAUUAUGUAUAUACUGUUGGGUUAUUGCACAUAGAAUUUUGUAUUGCAGUGUACCACCAUAGAGGAAAUGGGAAAAAAUUGGGGUGCAUGUGUGAGUUCAGGGUGGUUAUGGCUUUAGGGAAGAAACUGUUUUUGAGUCUGUGGGUUUUUGUGCUGAUGCACCUGUAGCUCUUCCCUGAGGGAAGCAGGCUGAACAUGUUAAAACCAGGGUGGGAGUUGUCCUUGAUAAUGUUUGCUGCUCUGCUGAGUAGGGAUGGGUAUCGUUUAGGUUUUAUCCGAUACCGGUGCCAAAUCGGUAC
Long non-coding RNA from Haplochromis burtoni (Burton's mouthbrooder), 1174 nucleotides. RefSeq lists it as uncharacterized. NCBI's taxonomy places the organism in Eukaryota, Metazoa, Chordata, Actinopteri, Cichliformes, Cichlidae. The record is from RefSeq and is a predicted model, not a curated record. The transcript has 3 exons.